Long non-coding RNA from Haemorhous mexicanus (house finch), 4635 nucleotides. RefSeq lists it as uncharacterized. Lineage: Eukaryota; Metazoa; Chordata; Aves; Passeriformes; Fringillidae. The record is from RefSeq and is a predicted model, not a curated record. The transcript is spliced from 4 exons.
ACUGAUGCUGCACCAUCGAGUCCCUGGUGCAGAGGUGCUUCCAACACCUCCAUCACUAAAUGAAGCCAAUGUCCUAGAAAUGGCAACUCUGGAGCCAGGGCAACAGAGAGGGGCACCAUGGCCAGCUGGGAUGAGGACAGCCCUGACAAGCCCUUCCCAGCAGGAAAGCUGGCAGAGGGCACAGGUCCAGGGAGGUCUGCCAGGCUGGACUACAGAGCAUUCAGAGCCAAGUCAAGCCAAGAAAGGCCACCCAGCCAUCUGAGGCACAUCUAAUGGACUUAAGAAGUUCCAGCAGUUAUGAAAUGGUCACUUCCAAGGAUCUAUGCCACAGGCCUGCACAAGAGGUAGACAUGAAAGUUUCCAAUGUCAGAGUGAACAGAGGUGGAUAACAAAUUAAAACAAAGGAUUAUAAACAAACUGUCAUGAUUUUUAUGUGACUCUGAUGGAUCAAAAAUUAGGAUUAAGGCCAACGCAAAAUAAAUCACUUGGAAACUGGAAUCAGAGGGAACAUGUGUGCCCCACAUAAACACAAAAAUCCAAUUUAUACAUAUAAAAAUGAAUCAGAGAGACUUAGAGGAGUAGCAAGUAUUGCCAACCUUGCAUUACAAUCUGCAUUAAUAAUGUCUGAUUUAAUGCCAAAUCUUCAUGAUUAGCAGAAAGUUUGAUUUUUGAGAGAGGAAGAUCAAAUUCAGGUUACUUCUCAGCCUGAGCAAACGCAGUAUGAACAUUCAGUCUGACAUUAUAAAUAGCCAUGAUUUCAUCAUAAAUAUGGGAAAAAUGAAGGACUUCUAAGCCUACAAGAGAAUACCCACAAAACCAGGUAAUCACAUCCCUGCUGGAUGGGUGAGUGCUGUGUUAAGCAUUCUCCCUAGCAGAUAUAAAGGAAUCCAUAAUAUAGCCAUGGGAAAAAAAAUCAACAGUGAGUUUUAUUUCUAUGUUCUCACAUGGAUACUCCUGUGCAUAACUGUGAAUGAGCUGAUACUGCAGCCACAAUUGCAGAGUCAGUGGGGAAACUAAGUCCACUGGAAGCUGUUUGACUAGUUGCACUGCACAUUUAGGAUUUCAGUUUUCCCAAGAUGCAGCAUUUUGGUGGUGUCCCAGCUCCUGACUCCAGGGGUUCCCCUCUACUUCCAAUCAGCACCAGCCCCAGACUGGAGAUCUAAAAUUCUUUUCUCAGAAUAAAAAAAGAUUAACCACACAGCUGGUAAGUGCUUGGAUAGCUUGAUUAUCAUAGCUUUUCUUGACCAAGAAUUGCUUCUGUGAGUCAGAAAAACAACCAUAGCAAGAGGUCCUCCUGAUCCUGCCCUGAGAUUGGUGUUAGGUUGCAGCAGCACUGACGUCCAUCCAUCAGGCUCUGGCCACAAAGCCUGGGCACAGCACCCUCAUCUGCUGAACAUUCAACACCAGAAGAAUAAAACCCCUCCUGGAAAAGCAACAUUCUGCAAGUUAUAAAAAAGGCUUACGUGGAUAAGUGCUAGCCUGAGGAACAAAUGUAUGGUGAAGAAGAAGCCCCAGCAAUGCACUUAAGCACUGUUUACUGGCUUUUAGGAGAAGAAGGCUCUUAAACUUGACAGACACCCUGGAAAAGCUCUCCUGAACAAAGCACUACAGAAAAUGUUAAGCUGUUAAUCAUGGUAAUAGAUACCUUAUGUAGACAAUUAGAGGAAAGCAGAGGAGAUUGAAAAGGGUAGUGGCAUCUGCCCUCCUCAUUACAAUGAAGUGUACCAGCAGCCUCCUCACCUGGCACCAGGCACAAGGGAAAAAUGCACAGACUGCUGAGUCUAACUCCCUGUGGAAACUCAUCUCAGGACACAGAGCAGACCUUACCAGGAGCUCAUGGCACUAACUGGGUCACAGGGUUCCUCUCACAGCACAUCACGGUGCUCCAAAGCACAAUGAGGCAUCAGUUACCACCAGUUAUUCCUUCUGCCUGGAGAUGGUCAGUGAAUGAACACCACGGAGAAUCGUGACUCGACAGGCAAAACGAUGAAUUAAUAUGGUGCUGGCAAUGAACAAAACUUUUAAUUGUCUUAAGAUGCAGCAUUUUAGCUCAGGGUGAAUAUGAACACCUCGCCUGGUGAUCCCCUUCAGUUGCACGCACUGCUACCUAGCCUUCAGCUGCCAUGUGCUCCCCGAAAGCAGCCAGGUGAGCCCGUGCUCCUCAAACCCACCUUCUGCCACUCGCUCUCCUGAGCAGCCUGUGGGCAGUCAGGGCUUGGAAUGGACUUGGCCCAGCAGAACAUGGGGAAGAGUACACAGCAAGACAGGCUGCCCCACACAGUAACCUGCUCAAGUCACUACUGACCCUCAGCCACCUCUGCCACCUUCACCCAUCUGCGAGAUCAGAGAGCUCCCACUACCCGGCAUGUUCCUACUGCAGCAAAUGUUGUGGUCAUGAGCAAAUACAGACUUGGGUCACCUCUGUACUCCCACAUACCAGACCAUUAAGUUGGAACUCACAUUCUCCGAACAGGCAGAAUCCAGCCUUUGGCUAAAAUAGCCUCUAGGCACCAACAGAGUGAAUGCCUAAGCUAUUUUUUCAAAGAGAGUACAGUUCUUGUGGGAAAUACAAACCAUCCUUUUUCAUUUUAAUGAUGGUUGAAGUAAUUUCUGAAUGAAGCUUGAAAAACAAUUAUCUUGAUUUAAAGGUGCUGCUUAAAUGUAAACCUGAAUGCUGCAUCUUAAAUGACAGCUGCUAGUCUCAAGACACAAAGGUAGUUGAGGGAAAUGAAGCAUAGUCCCACAAAAGUGGAUUUGGUGCAGCAGCCUCUGAAUUCCCACUGCUGACAGAGAGCUCAAUAGGCAUCUUUCACACAUUCUAUUUUGUUCUUUUGUUUAUUUGUUGAACAGAGUUUACUGUCUUCAAGAUGCCAGCAGGACCUUAAGAAGGCUUCUGCCCUUUUGAAGUCUCCCUACUUCCUCCUACACUCAAAGAGAAACCAUUUCUCUUUCCACUUCCAUCCCACAACUCUCAAUUUCUAUAACUUGCAUAACUGAUUAGGAAGUGCUGACAGCAGAGUGCAGUGAGCCUCCCAGUGCAUCCCCCACCUCCAGACCUUUCCUCUAGGGAACAGCUUCCCAAGAGUUCCAGCGCAGUUUCUAUUUAAAAGAUUCAGACCCUGCCAGAAGGAGCUGGGUUGUCAAAUUUCAAAACUGUGCUCUCUACACAGUACUCAGAUGUGCUUCUGCAGUAGUAAAUGUUAGCUCUCCCUUGUGGCAUGCACUUACCUUCGAAACCUUGCACCAAGCCUCUUCCUCUCUCUGUUCCUAUUCCUCACUUCCAAUCCAGACACAGUCUCCUUCUAAGAGAAAUAGUGAAGGAACAAGAAGCAGUGACCACUUGAGGAAUGGGGAAACAAGCCUCUACCCAGAUGGGGUCCAGAGAUCCUCAUCAGUCACUAUCACUCAUUCUACCCAACAAAAAAAUGCCCACAUUAUGAGCCUCCUUGCAAGCCUUGGAGCCCAUCUUCACCAUUCCAGCACGGACUUGGCUAUCCAGUUUUUUCAAAUCCCUGACUUUGCUUUCACAGAGAGCUAAACCAAGCAUCCACACAUUGUUCUUAUCAAAACCCAGGGGGUUUUCAGAAGACCCAAUGGACAGCAAAGGUCUUGUCUGAGAAAUAACAGGCUAAUGAAAGAGACUGUCUAGUGCCAUUACAGCAGUGCAAUACAGAGCCCUUUCCAGCAAGUACUGAAGAACCCAAAUUAAACACUGCCGUAUUGCUGUAUGGCAGCAAUCCACACAGAAGACUGGGUUCAUUUCCCAGGUCAGGAAAGGUUUUCCCUGCUGCUGGGAUGUACUAGUAUUUGCAGCACCAUUUUAUCUAAAAUCUUCACAAGACUGCAGUGGAGAGCUUCAGGGAACAGGCUCUGCUGAAGAGCCACAGACCUGGUAAUCAAAGUGCACUGCAGGGGAGAGGCAGACAGAGUCAGGGUGGACUGAGGUGUGAGCACAAAAAAAUGUCAAGAGCUGGCAGAAGGUUAACAGAGUAAUAUGGUAGGGAACAUCAGCCACCCCUCUGUGUGCAGCCACAGCUGCCUGAGCCACAUCCUGUGACCGAGGAGAGCAUCAACAACAAACCUCCUGUGAGCCAGCACGACUGGCGGAGGAAUUUUCCCACAGUAAAGAUCACAUUCAUCGCUCUGUGUCAGGAACAAUAUUGCAUUGUAACGGCCCUGGGAUUCCAGCAGAUGGAAGAACACAUUCAACCUCAACCACGAAGAAACUCUGAGCUAAAAUGGUGAAGUGCAACGCUCCUUUGGCUGCACUACAGCACAGCACAUUUUAUAGCUGUUACCCACAUGGCCAGCACAGUGACAUGAACUCAAAUGAAGAAUGGAGACUAAAUCUUAAUAUACCUGAAAAAGGACAGAAACCCCCAAGCAUCAGAUAAAAAUAAGUGUCUGAAAUUUAUGGAUGUAUAUGAUCAAAACAAAAUUUAUAAAACAGAAAAUAAAUAAAGACAUAAGAAAAAGAAGAAAAAAGAAAAAGAAACACUUAAGAAGAAUUUGAAGUGUUUUCUUUACCUCUACAAUCUCACAGAUCUGCCUGUGGGAAGGGAAUACGGUGAUGGCCAUGCAGACAACAUUGCAAACGUCACUGCUUUAAAAAAAAUAAACAAACAUUUUCAAAUA